GGAAGUGUGUGUGUGGUGAGUGCGUGAGACUUCGCGGGAUAUCUGUGUUGUGCUUGAAGUGGAUAAAAGUUAAUUAUUAUUUUGGAAACAGCCACAAAAUAUAUUCCUGGCUUCUCAGCGCUUCUCUCAGAUUCACCAGCUUCUGUUGAGCGCGCUCGUGCAUCGACGUGAAGUAAGGCUCCAGACGAUCCUUCACAUCUUCCACGCUCUGUGAAGCACGAGACUGAACCUCCUCAAGGUAUG
RNAcentral lists this long non-coding RNA (243 nucleotides) under Danio rerio (zebrafish). Its description in RNAcentral is "si:ch73-347e22.10 (ENSDARG00000098513.2)". Lineage: Eukaryota; Metazoa; Chordata; Actinopteri; Cypriniformes; Danionidae. The record is from RNAcentral.